Molecule: ribosomal RNA, 1036 nt
Filed under: Escherichia coli
Lineage: Bacteria; Pseudomonadati; Pseudomonadota; Gammaproteobacteria; Enterobacterales; Enterobacteriaceae
Description: partial 23S ribosomal RNA
Rfam family: Bacterial large subunit ribosomal RNA
Source: RNAcentral
CCGGCGAUUUCCGAAUGGGGAAACCCAGUGUGUUUCGACACACUAUCAUUAACUGAAUCCAUAGGUUAAUGAGGCGAACCGGGGGAACUGAAACAUCUAAGUACCCCGAGGAAAAGAAAUCAACCGAGAUUCCCCCAGUAGCGGCGAGCGAACGGGGAGGAGCCCAGAGCCUGAAUCAGUGUGUGUGUUAGUGGAAGCGUCUGGAAAGGCGCGCGAUACAGGGUGACAGCCCCGUACACAAAAAUGCACAUACUGUGAGCUCGAUGAGUAGGGCGGGACACGUGGUAUCCUGUCUGAAUAUGGGGGGACCAUCCUCCAAGGCUAAAUACUCCUGACUGACCGAUAGUGAACCAGUACCGUGAGGGAAAGGCGAAAAGAACCCCGGCGAGGGGAGUGAAAAAGAACCUGAAACCGUGUACGUACAAGCAGUGGGAGCCUCUUUUAUGGGGUGACUGCGUACCUUUUGUAUAAUGGGUCAGCGACUUAUAUUCUGUAGCAAGGUUAACCGAAUAGGGGAGCCGAAGGGAAACCGAGUCUUAACUGGGCGUUAAGUUGCAGGGUAUAGACCCGAAACCCGGUGAUCUAGCCAUGGGCAGGUUGAAGGUUGGGUAACACUAACUGGAGGACCGAACCGACUAAUGUUGAAAAAUUAGCGGAUGACUUGUGGCUGGGGGUGAAAGGCCAAUCAAACCGGGAGAUAGCUGGUUCUCCCCGAAAGCUAUUUAGGUAGCGCCUCGUGAAUUCAUCUCCGGGGGUAGAGCACUGUUUCGGCAAGGGGGUCAUCCCGACUUACCAACCCGAUGCAAACUGCGAAUACCGGAGAAUGUUAUCACGGGAGACACACGGCGGGUGCUAACGUCCGUCGUGAAGAGGGAAACAACCCAGACCGCCAGCUAAGGUCCCAAAGUCAUGGUUAAGUGGGAAACGAUGUGGGAAGGCCCAGACAGCCAGGAUGUUGGCUUAGAAGCAGCCAUCAUUUAAAGAAAGCGUAAUAGCUCACUGGUCGAGUCGGCCUGCGCGGAAGAUGUAACGGGGC